Long non-coding RNA from Helianthus annuus (common sunflower), 527 nucleotides. RefSeq lists it as uncharacterized. The record is from RefSeq and is a predicted model, not a curated record. Lineage: Eukaryota; Viridiplantae; Streptophyta; Magnoliopsida; Asterales; Asteraceae. The transcript is spliced from 3 exons.
AGAUGAAAAGCAUCUCAGGGGAAGUGAGUAUUCUGUUCUUGCUCUCGGCUGUUUCAGUUGUUGCCUUUGAUCGAGCAUUUGGAGAUGAAUUGUUGUGCUGUUAAGUGUUUUGCUUCAGGUGAUAUCCCAGAGAGUCUCCCGAACAUGCUAGUCCAUCUGCGUGAUCUUAUAUUAUAUGGACUGUCCUUUGGACAAGAAGAUGAGCUACGUUUUGUUCUUCUCUUGGUUGCAAGCUCCCCAAAUUUAAAGAAAGUAAAAAUGGAGAUGAACUACAAUCCAACGAAUCACAAACCGCCAUGAACCUUUUUGACUUGCAAGACUAUCCGUAUCUUAUUAACUUGGAUCAUCUCGUUGAAUUGGAGAUUACAAACUUUAGUAACAUGAAACCUGGAAUGGAUCACGUCGUUUUUUACUGAACUUGUUUUGGUUGUGUGAUUGAUGUCUUUUGGUUUGUUUAUUUUCUUCCUUUAAACUUGUUGUGUUUGCAGCUUGUGUUUUGAAUGGAACCAAAGAUAUCAUUUCCGAAA